Molecule: long non-coding RNA, 6623 nt
Filed under: Ananas comosus (pineapple)
Lineage: Eukaryota; Viridiplantae; Streptophyta; Magnoliopsida; Poales; Bromeliaceae
Description: long non-coding RNA (ACOM_LNC017360)
Source: RNAcentral
GGGAAUGGAGCAUGGGUAGAAAUAUUAUCUUAUUCCCCAAUUCUCUCCUCUCCUCUCCUCUUAAUCCCUGUAUCCCUCUAUUUCUCUUCUAUUCCCAAUCCCUAUCUAUCCCUCCUACCUGUCAAUUCUUAUCCCCCAUAAUUUCUUCCUCAAUUCCCAUCAAUUCUGCGAAGUAAUUGCACAGUCCCAUCGGAAUUGGUGCCGGAACCCACCAUCAUCCCCGUCGCCGUCCUCGCCUCGGCAAAGUAUCGUCAUCGGCGGGUUGCAACGGGUCCGGGAUAUUACACUCUGGUGAGCAUUUAAUUCUAACAAAUUUUUAAAAUUGCUAACGAAAGGACUGAAAUCAAAGGAUUUGUAAGUUGAGAGAUGUAAAUCAAAUAAAAAAAACAAAAAUACAAAGUCUACAAUCUUUACAAUUGUCGAUCCAAGACGCAGAGUAUAGUUCGCGUAUUUUAGUUUUUAGUUAAAAAAAAAAUCAAAAAAAUAUUUGGACGAGACGAGCUGGAAAAAAGUGGACAUUGGAUGGCGGAAGUUAUAGGGUUAGCAUUGCUCAUUUUUUUUAAAAAAAAAAUCACGGCAUUUAAACCGAAAACAAUUGGGGAAUUAACUCCUAUAAAUAUUAUUUUAGAAUCUAACCCUCAUUCCAUGCAAGAGUAACACCGGCGCUAGUUAGCAAAAUUUAAGAUUAGUUAGUUGCCACAAGAAGAUGGCGAAUCAUUCGGUGCCUUUUGAAUAGAAGACAACUUAAUAAUUUAUUACCUACUUAAUUUCAUCCGCCUAUUUAUAAGCUUUAUUGUGUUUCUCAUGCAGUAAAUUAGAAGAGAUAAUUUUCUUUGUGUUCUAAAGCUUUACAAAAUUAGGUGUUGAGCAUAAUUAAGUGUUUAAUUUGUAACUUCGUUGGAUAGAAGAAUCUAGUAACCUAUUGGGUAAUUAAAUUUCAACCAACUAGAGUAACUCGCCAAAGGAAAAAAAAAAAAAAAAGGAAAAAAAAAAAGAUACGCCUCUCCAAUAAUCACUGCUGAAAGAUUGACAUGAAUUUGGUCGCAAAAUCUGAAUCAAAACCAAACUUACACAGACUGAAAACUGAGUUUGUUAGUUAAUUUGUUUUUCUGUCUUCAACACAUAAAGAAAUUUAAUUUCUUUCUGAAAAUUGUAAAGAAAUUAAAAGUAAAGCAGCUGUUGGAUGUAGUUGUAAGUUGAUGCGUGCUGAAGUACAGCAGCCCUUUUUUUUUCCUUUUACAAUGAGUCGGCCGCACCGACCAAAUUUACUCUCAAAAUCGAUGUACAGCCCUCAAUAAAAACUUAAGAAGUUUAACAAAAUUUCAAGUAUAAAUAACUUUAGACCUGGGAUACUUUGUCUACUUCAAAGAAGCUCAUCAACUUCAUCAGAUCAUGAGAUUUGCUAGUUGUGCAGAUAAAGUGAAGAGAAACAAAUUGCUAUCUUGCCAUCAUAGAACACACAGAUUAUUACUCUUUAACCUUCGCGCACUUCGCUAAUUAAACAUACAUCUCCAAAUCUCAAUCUUCAAAAUAUAUAAUGUAAUAUAUUAUCCUUCCUUGCAAAGAAAUCAAAUUAGUCCCACAUUCUUAUGCUCGCUAAUUGGUCUCCUAGGGAAGGUUAAUUAAGCAGUGAAACAAAAUAACCAGUAAAAUUAAGCUACACAAAGCAGUAAAACCUUAACCAUCCUUUCUAACAAGGCUGAAAUGGAUAGACUAAAAUUACAGGACUCAACUUAUAUACGAUACAGUCAAAAUUGGCCAUAAAAAAUUGUCGAAAGCAUGUUUUAAUAUUUAAAUAAUCAUUAUCACAUUUGUCUGACCUUUUUUUUUUAUCAAAUCACAAAACCUUGUUUUUUUUACAUUCUUUACUUUUUUUUUUUUUAGACACUUCAUAUCAUUUUAUAUUAUAUUAAUUCGGUUUAUUUUUUAAGUUUGCAGACAAAUUUUUUUAUUAUUAUUUUAACUCUACGAAAGACAUGAAAAAAACGGCAUUAGACAUCUGGAGAUAAUAACCUAUACGUCUGUUAUUAAAGAGGUAGGCUUUCCGACACCUCAUCCCCACAGUUGCUCGGCUUAUGCUCGCUCGACCCGAGUAAAUUAUUUGCUCGGCUUAUGCUCGACCCGAGUAAAUUAUUUGCUCGGCUUAUGCUCGAUCCCAAAUCCCAAAUCCCAAAAUCCCAAAAAUCCCCAAAUCCCAAAUCCCAAAAUCCCAAGUCCCAAGUCCCAAGUUGUAUAUUUCAUAAAUCCGAAUCCUGAGGGACACGGAAUGAGAAUGACGUACAUAACGUAAAAAAAAAAAGAAAAAAAGAUAACGGUUUAAUUACAUUUUAGAAAUACCUACUUUAACAGGAUUUUUAUUAAUUAAAUGACAAACUAAGGACGUGUUCAUCGUUUAGAGUAUCGGGCCACUCGAACAAAUCAAAACAGAUGAUUGACUACUUCAACAACUCGGAUCAAAUUUGAAACCAAAUCUUACACAAAGUUUGGAAAAAAUAAAAAGAAAAAAGAAAAGAAAGUCGUCGUAUUAAUCAUGGGAAUUCGAACACUCGAAUAAAAGUCACCAUAUUUAAUAUAAGUUUAAAACAAUUUCAAAUAUACAAAAAAAUUAUGUCCAACAUAGUUAAACCCUCAUUUAAAUUAUCCACGUACGAGACAGUUAUUCCGAGCUGACUGAGCAACAUUUUCCUUUUAUUCUCGUUUUGACGUUGUCGUGCGUACUUGAACGUUGGUUGUAGGACGUCAAAGUAUGAAAAUGAUAGAAACGUGAAAGAUUUGUUUGAAUUCUAAGUAAUUGCUGNUUGACACCCCUACUCCACAGCCUUUCGGAUGGAGAAAUUAUUGUCUGCAUAUCCAAUAAUAGAGGUCUACAGAUUACGGAAAAAAAUGUACAGAAAGCAUCUCAAUUUUAUUAUUAUUUUUUUAAACAGACGUUUGAAUUUUUUAUUUGGCUUAAUUAUAUUAUAUUUUACUAUACUUCACAGAUUUUUUUUUUUUUCAUUUCUUACAUUUUUUUUGUUCCAAAACACUAAACUAUUUUUUUUUUUCCAGUCUGUUUACACUAUUACUAAUAAAUUUAUAAUUUUGUACGAAAGCUGUUAAAAAAUACCGGUUAAAACUGACAUAGCAUAUAUUCAACUCAUUUUGACAUGAAAAUAAUAAAAUAAAUAAAAAUUAUAAAAAAAAUAAAAAUAACUUGAUAGAAGCUUUCAAUGAGUCUAUCAGAGAGAUUCCCUUUAUAUUUAUUUUCUAUUUUUUAACUAGUAUUUCUUAAUAAGUUGUUAAAAUUUUUCUAAAAUAAUAGAUUUAUUAAAAGUAAUGUAGUGAUUGAUAAGAAAAAAUUAGUUUAGUAAUAUCUAUAAAAAAAUAGUAAAGGGUAGAAACCAAAAAUAAAUCUAAAAUAUAAUGUAAAGAUUGAUAAAACAUAAUAAUACAAUAAUGUCUUUGAAAAAAAAGUAUAAUAUAGCAAGUAAAGUCUAAUACUGAAAGUACAGUAUAGUAGAGUGUAAUAAGUCUUGAAAGAAAUCUAUACUUAUAUAUCUAUAUCUAUACUUUUUUUUACUACAUUAAAGGAGGGUUUGGGGACCAUGGGGUGACACGUGUCCCCCCACCUCCCUCUUCUCUCACUAUACAUAUAUUUCAUAUAUAUAGUAUCUAUAUAAAUAAAAUUUUAAAUUUUCGAUAUCAAAAUUUGAAAUUUUGAUACUUUCAAAUUUCAAAGUUUUAAUUUCCAAAUUUUAUAUUCCAAAUUUUAAAUUACAAAUUUUAAAUUUUAAUUUAUAAUAUUUAUUUUAAAUUUUAAACUUCAAAAUUUAAAAUUUGAAAUCCCUAAACUCUUUUUAUUUAAAUAAAAUUAACUAUUAAAUUAUUUUUAUAUAACUUUAUUUAAUUAAUAAUUAGACAUAAAAUUAUAUAAAAAAUAAAAAACUAAAGGUUAUUAUAAAAAUAUUUUUAUAUCCGCAGCAUCGCUAUUAAAUUAUUUUCAUAUAACUUUAUUUAAUUAAUAAUUAGACUUAUAAAAUUAUAUAAAAAAUAAAAAACUAAAAAUUAUUAUAAAAAUAUUUUUAUAUCCGCAGCAUCGCGCGGGUAUUUCACUAGUAUAAUACUGAAGCUGAACAUGAACAACCACUGCCACAAAUGGUCCCACAUCAUCAAAAUUCUGAAGCUCGUGAUUUUCCUCAAAUUAAGCAAAUGCAAUCAGUUUAAGCAGCAACUUAAGUGAUGUCCUGCAAUAUUCUUGCCAUAAUAGAACACACAAAUUACUAACUAAACAAAUUUCCACAAAUCUGGGUCUUCAAAAUAAGUAAUGUAAUUAAUUAUACCUCUCUACUAAGAAAUCAAAUUAGUCCCACCACUUGCACUCAAAUAUGCUUCAGCUUGCUAAUUGUUGGGUCUCCUAGGGAAGAUUAAUUAAGCAUUAAAACAGAAUAACCAGUAAGAUUAAGCUACAUUAAAGACGCUAAUCACAUUAUAUAUAUAGACUAUGUACAUGCAGUAGUCUUAUUCCAAUCCUGCACCAAGAAAAAAAAGGAGAAUGUACACAAAGCAAUAAAACUUUAACCAUCCUUCGUAACAAGGACGAAAUCAAUAGACUAAAAUAACAGGAGUCUUUUUAAUUCAUACAACACAGAGAACAAAAAGAAAAUAGAAAUACAUAGGCAGUUUAUUUUGGUCUUGUUACAUUUAUAUAGAGAAAUCGAUAUAGUGCUUAAUUCGUUCUCGAACCACUAAACAUAGAACAUAAGCAACAACACUACAAUUUUUUUGCGCAGCAUCUACCAAAUAUACUCCAAAUGUUGAUACAAUCUGCACUAAAAACUAAAACAGUUUUAACAAAAUUGAAAGCAUGAUUUAUACUACUGCUGAAAUUGAGUUACACAAAUUUAAUCUGGUGCCUAUUAUACUGCAAAAAAAAACAAAAGAAAAAAGAAAAACAAUAAUAAUCUGAAACACAUUUAGAGCAAUGUUUAACAACUUUUUUUUUGAGAAAAAAAUAGCAUGCUACCCGCUUCAUUCAUAUAGUAGGUGAAUUAAGCAACAUGGGUGAGGCAUCAAGGCCUCAAGGUUGAUGGAGCCAAAAAGGAAAAAACAGGAGAACAGAUGUUGUUUGCAAAGUACAGCUGAUACCUCUAUGCUGACUACGAGGUCUAACUAUAGCUCUACGGAUCAGGAAUACCCCACUGAGCUAUCAGAUGUUUGAUCUUAUGAGUCCCACGGAUCGGAUCGGCCUGGGACUUCGCAAAAAUGAUUCCAUUCCUAGUCACCCAAACCACCCACCAGCAAGCAAUAAUACCGCUUAAAUCAUUAUUCGAGACCUUCCGUCCUUUCCAUAUAUCCCACAGCUGGUGUGGGACCAGGCAAUAAUACCGCUUAAAUGUUUAACAACUUCAUCAGAUAAUAGACAGAAAAGUAAACAAGCUUAUGACCAGGCAAUGAGAUUGGUUAUUUGUGCAGGAAUAUUCAAACACUAAAUUAUAUUUAGGAUAGAUGAAUACAAAUUGAGGAGAAAUAAAAUUGAAGCACUUAACCUCCCUGCCUCAAAAGAUGGCAAUUUUGUUUUCAAAGAUUUACUGUUGAUUUGGCUACAGAGGACGCGAAAAAAAAAGAAAAAUGGAAAACAUGGAAUCUGACUCUAAUCCUGCACCAAGAAAACUGAAGAACACAAGCAUGUAGAAAGAAAUUAGUCUUUUUUUCACUUUUAAUUCCUAGAAAUAGAUUGAUAGAAAACUCAUAGAGAGCCAUAUAUUACUCCAGCACUAAUAAAAUAGGAGAACAUAAGCAGCAAAACUUUACUCUUAUUAUAUAUUCCUUAAUAAAGAAUUGAUAGAAAUAUGAGUGUUAUACCAUUACUACAGUCCUGCACCAAGAAAUUUAAGGAACUUCAAAAGCUUUUGUCACACUUCUCUCUUCCUUAUUAUGUUCUAACUCAUCAACUAGUCAUAUUUAAUUGUAGAAGGUAAUUGAUAGAGUGCAUAUAAUAUCAUCAUUACAUUUUUUGUUUUACAUGACUAAUUUAUUGCUUCAGUGUUCACGCCUAAUAAGAUAUAAUACCUGAACCACGAGCAUAGGAAAUCAAAGGCAAGAGAUACUGAAACAGAAAUUUUAUUUAAUUUCUAAUACAAAUGUGGAAGAUAUGUGAUGCAGAGGGUAAGCAAAUACUAUAAUAUCUUUGUAAUCACGCGCUGCGAGCACCAUGUCCUGUAAGGAGUGAUUAGCACUAUAAUUUCUUUUAUACAUGCACCCAAACCAUAAAUUAAGGGUACAAAAUAUAAAAAUUUGUUUUGAGGAUGCUAAUUAAAAGCAAACCAGAUUGCUCUUUCAUUGUCUGAAAAGAAAAAGGCUAGUAGUCCUGAAACAAAUGAAAUAACCUUGUUAGUUAAGAUCGAAUAAGACGUAGUUCAUUAAGACCAGAGUGAAUUGCAUUAAUUACAGAGGGUAGCAUGGGUAAGAUGAAGGGUGGUAAAGUGAACAUACAAUAUGCAUCAUCACCUUUGCAAAUGCUAAAAAAUCGUCAGAUCAGGGAUGUCGGCAAUCUUGGGCCAAUCAAGGCCUAUAUUCUCUUGGCAUCGCUCCUUCAACACAGGGUGACACCCGGUGAUGCAUAGAGUACGCAGUGAAGCAGGCAG